AUUGAACGCUGGCGGCAUGCCUUACACAUGCAAGUCGAACGGCAGCGGACCUUCGGGUGCCGGCGAGUGGCGAACGGGUGAGUAAUAUAUCGGAACGUACCUUUCAGUGGGGGAUAACGUAGCGAAAGUUACGCUAAUACCGCAUAUUCUGUGAGCAGGAAAGCAGGGGAUCGCAAGACCUUGCGCUGAUUGAGCGGCCGAUAUCAGAUUAGCUAGUUGGUGCGGUAACGGCGCACCAAGGCGACGAUCAGUAGGGGGCGUGAGAGCGUGGACCCCCACACGGGUACUGAGACACGGACCCGACUCCUACGGGAGGCAGCAGUAAGGAAUAUUGGUCAAUGGAGGAAACUCUGAACCAGCCAUCCCGCGUGCAGGAAGAAUGCCCUAUGGGUUGUAAACUGCUUUUAUCUGGGAAGAAAAGUCGGGAUUUAUCCUGAUCUGACGGUACCAGAGGAAUAAGCACCGGCUAACUCCGUGCCAGCAGCCGCGGUAAA
Molecule: ribosomal RNA, 494 nt
Filed under: uncultured bacterium
Lineage: Bacteria
Description: bacterial SSU rRNA
Rfam family: Bacterial small subunit ribosomal RNA
Source: RNAcentral